RNAcentral lists this ribosomal RNA (341 nucleotides) under Massilia sp. RNAcentral describes it as "bacterial SSU rRNA". It matches the Rfam family "Bacterial small subunit ribosomal RNA", at positions 821 to 1167 of the family's 1533-position model. The record is from RNAcentral. Lineage: Bacteria; Pseudomonadati; Pseudomonadota; Betaproteobacteria; Burkholderiales; Oxalobacteraceae.
UGUUGGGUCUUAAUUGACUUAGUAACGCAGCUAACGCGUGAAGUAGACCGCCUGGCGAGUACGGUCGCAAGAUUAAAACUCAAAGGAAUUGACGGGGACCCGCACAAGCGGUGGAUGAUGUGGAUUAAUUCGAUGCAACGCGAAAAACCUUACCUACCCUUGACAUGGCAGGAAUCCCGGAGAGAUUUGGGAGUGCUCGAAAGAGAACCUGCACACAGGUGCUGCAUGGCUGUCGUCAGCUCGUGUCGUGAGAUGUUGGGUUAAGUCCCGCAACGAGCGCAACCCUUGUCAUUAGUUGCUACGCAAGAGCACUCUAAUGAGACUGCCGGUGACAAACCGGA